This 497-nucleotide ribosomal RNA is filed under the name uncultured bacterium. Its description in RNAcentral is "partial 16S ribosomal RNA". It matches the Rfam family "Bacterial small subunit ribosomal RNA", at positions 28 to 507 of the family's 1533-position model. The record is from RNAcentral.
GAUGAACGCUGGCGGCGUGCCUAAUACAUGCAAGUCGAGCGAACAGACGAGGAGCUUGCUCUUCUGACGUUAGCGGCGGACGGGUGAGUAACACGUGGAUAACCUACCUAUAAGACUGGGAUAACUUCGGGAAACCGGAUCUAAUACCGGAUAAUAUAUUGAACCUCAUUGUUCAAUAGUGAAAGACGGUCUUUCUGUCACUUAUAGAUGGAUCCGCGCCUCAUUAGCUAGUUGGUAAGGUAACGGCUUACCAAGGCAACGAUGCAUAGCCGACCUGAGAGGGUGAACGGACACACUGGAACUGAGACACGGUACAGACUCCUACGGGAGGCAGCAGUAGGGAAUCUUCCGCAAGGGGCGAAAGCGUGACGGAGCAACGCCGCGGGAGUGAUGAAGGUCUUCGGAUCGUAAAACUCUGUUAUUAGGGAAGAACAAAUGUGUAAGUAACUGUGAACAUAUUGACGGUACCUAAUCAGAAAGCCACGGCUAACUACGUG